UCUAGCGGUUAGGAUUCCUG
This 20-nucleotide non-coding RNA is filed under the name Mus musculus (house mouse). Lineage: Eukaryota; Metazoa; Chordata; Mammalia; Rodentia; Muridae. The record is from RNAcentral.